CGAGUGCGGGCCCUCUGGGUCCAACCUCCCAUCCGUGUCUAUUGUACCCUGUUGCUUCGGCGUGGCCGGCUUUCCCCCCCGGGGGGAGCCACCAGUGCCCGCCGGAGACUCCAACAUCUGAACACUGUCUGAAGAUUGCAGUCUGAGUUUAUAGUUAAACAAUCGUUAAAACUUUCAACAACGGAUCUCUUGGUUCCGGCAUCGAUGAAGAACGCAGCGAAAUGCGAUAACUAAUGUGAAUUGCAGAAUUCAGUGAAUCAUCGAGUCUUUGAACGCACAUUGCGCCCCCUGGUAUUCCGGGGGGCAUGCCUGUCCGAGCGUCAUUGCUGCCCUCAAGCACGGCUUGUGUGUUGGGCCACCGUCCCGGGGACUUCUGGUCCCUGGGACGGGCCCGAAAGGCAGCGGCGGCACCGUGUCUGGUCCUCGAGCGUAUGGGGCUUUGUCACCCGCUCCCGUAGGUCCAGCCGGCGGCCAGCCUCGCAACCAACCAUUCUUUAACCAGGUUGACCUCGGAUCAGGUAGGGAUACCCGCUGAACUUAAGCAUAUC
Molecule: ribosomal RNA, 548 nt
Filed under: Aspergillus osmophilus
Lineage: Eukaryota; Fungi; Ascomycota; Eurotiomycetes; Eurotiales; Aspergillaceae
Description: eukaryotic LSU rRNA
Rfam family: 5.8S ribosomal RNA (bases 170-323)
Source: RNAcentral